UGGAUCCUCACCACAUCCUGUGUCUCUGCUCCCACUCCCUGCAGCGUCCCUCCUGGGCUACAGAGCUCUGGACGGGCUGAAGGACCAUGACCCCGUCCCUGUCUGCCCUUCUCGGCCUCGGGCUGUGUCUGGGGCAGGUCGUGCAAACUCGGCAGGUCUCUCUGCCCAAGCCCUCCCUCCGUGCCCUGCCUAGCUCUCUAGUGCCGCUGGAGAAGCCGGUGACCAUCCAAUGCCAGGGGCCUCCGGGUGUGGACCUGUACCGCUUGGAGAAGCUGAGGUCUGGGAAGUAUGAGGAUCAGGCCGUCCUCUCCAUCCCGGCCAUGAAGCAAAGUUUCGCCGGGUGCUACCGCUGUUCCUACCAGAACGGGACCCGCUGGUCUCCCCCCAGCGACCGGCUGGAGCUGGUGGCUACCGAAGUUUACGCCAAGCCCUCGCUUUCAGCCCAGCCUGGCCCGGCCGUAUCCCCAGGAGGGGAUGUCACUCUACAGUGUCGCAGCCAAUACGGUUUUGACCAAUUUGCUUUAUACAAGGAGGGGGACACUGGCCCCUACAAGGGACCCGAGAGGUGGUACAGGGCCGAUUUCCCCAUCAUCACAGUGACUGCUGCCCACAGUGGGAUCUACCGAUGCUACAGCUUUUCCAGCCGACACCCAUACCUGUGGUCAGCCCCCAGCGACCCCCUGGAGCUUGUGGUCACAGGGACUUCCGCGACCCCCGGCUGGUUACCCACAGAACCACCUUCCUCUGUGACAGAAUUCCCAGAAGCCUCCAGGAAACUGAACAUCUCAUUUAUCAACAAAGGCUCCACAACUGAGCCUUCCAGGAAUAUCACCAUCUUUCCAAAGGGGUCAGACUCUCCAAUUGGUCUUGCCCGGCAGCACUACACCAAGGGCAAUCUGGUCCGGAUAUGCCUCGGGGCUGUGAUCCUAAUACUCUUGGUGGGGUUUCUGGCAGAAGACUGGCACAGCCGAAAGAAACCCCUGCUGCACUUGGUCAGAGCUGUCCACAGGCCACUCCCACCCCUUCCGCAAACCCAGAAGCCACACAGUUGGCAGGACAAGGGUCGACCAGAUGGCUAUACCCAUGGGUGCCACAACUAGGACCCCAAGGCUUGGCUCUGUCUGUGAGACGGGGAUUGUGGAGACCGUGUGUGGAACGCACUCACGAAACCUCAGACCCUGAGAAUGAAGAUGCUCUAGGAAAAACCUACAUCCAGCUGAACAAGAGGCCUUGAGACAGAAACAGAAGGAAGGAAACCUGUGGGAAAGUCCAGGAACCCACACUGUAUGCAGUGACAUCAGAGAGAUGAUACACAAGCACGUUCAAGGGCGGUUUGAAGGGGACAUCUGGGAACGUGGUGUAUUUGGUGAGAAUGAUGAACCGAUGAACCCCGGGGAUGAAACAGGAAAGUAGGAUGACUGAAAGAGUAAUUGACAAAUUAGCACUUAAUAAAAAAGUGAUUCUUAACAAUUAAUUGCCUUAAGGAAUUUUGGGAUUCUGUAGGUCACAAUGAAAUAAGGAGGGCUAGAUGGGGAAGGGCUACGCACACCAUGAACUUAUGUUUUCUGUAAGGGGGGAAUUAUUAAAAAGUUAAUAACAGCAAUGAUGUGAUCAUAUAUGCGCUUCAUUGAAGUGCUUAAGAAUGCUACAAAAUAUCGUAGGAUUUGUAGGAGAAAUACUCUUGAUGAGGAAGACCUAUAGACAGCUAUCCACGCAGGUCAAGAAAUGUCAGAGCUAGGCAGUGACUGGCAAAGUGAACGGACUGAUGGGAUCACAAACAUGUCUGUCCCCUUUCCCUGCUGGGUUAGGUUCUUCCCAAAUUAAGUAUCUUGUGUCUAAGUUUGGUCGGAAUCCAUUAAUAAACAUAACCUCCUUCAUGAA
This is an RNA transcript of Herpailurus yagouaroundi (jaguarundi), 1881 nucleotides long. It is a transcript of the gene named platelet glycoprotein VI-like, with no coding region annotated. The transcript has 9 exons. Lineage: Eukaryota; Metazoa; Chordata; Mammalia; Carnivora; Felidae. The record is from RefSeq and is a predicted model, not a curated record.